RNAcentral lists this ribosomal RNA (253 nucleotides) under uncultured bacterium. RNAcentral describes it as "partial 16S ribosomal RNA". It matches the Rfam family "Bacterial small subunit ribosomal RNA", at positions 524 to 776 of the family's 1533-position model. The record is from RNAcentral.
UACGUAGGGCGCAAGCGUUGUCCGGAAUUAUUGGGCGUAAAGAGCUCGUAGGCGGCUUGUCACGUCGGUUGUGAAAGCCCGGGGCUUAACCCCGGGUCUGCAGUCGAUACGGGCAGGCUAGAGUGUGGUAGGGGAGAUCGGAAUUCCUGGUGUAGCGGUGAAAUGCGCAGAUAUCAGGAGGAACACCGGUGGCGAAGGCGGAUCUCUGGGCCAUUACUGACGCUGAGGCGCGAAAGCGUGGGGAGCAAACAGG